Molecule: long non-coding RNA, 831 nt
Filed under: Elaeis guineensis (African oil palm)
Lineage: Eukaryota; Viridiplantae; Streptophyta; Magnoliopsida; Arecales; Arecaceae
Description: long non-coding RNA (EGUI_LNC043623)
Source: RNAcentral
UUGAGACUUCAUAAGCCAAAUUGCUUAUUCCAAGUUUAAUCCCUUUACUGUGUGAUCUCAUAGGUUCAAUUCUGUCUGGUAGUGAGAUAUACAAUGAUCUCUAUCAUAUGCUAGCAAUGUUAUCCUGAACCCAAUAGGAUUUUUUUAAAUCCAAUUGAGACUUCAUAAAUCCAAUUGCUUAUUCCAAAUCUAAUCUCUUUGUUGUGUGACCCCAUGAUUUUAUUCUGUCUAGUAGUGAAAUAUAUAAUGAUCUCUAUCAUAGUAUCAUUAAAAUUCUUUUCAAUUGGUCGAAACAAUUUCACUCUAACUCAUUAAGGAUUAUCGAUCUUAAGAAAUCUUAGUAAGCUCUCACGAUCCAUCAGUGAUACCUAGCAGUAUGUAGUGACAAUCCAGUAGAAUCAGAAAAGAACCUCAAGAUGUAGUUCACGUAUGAUUUAGUUUCUCUAUUGCGUGUUCCGACUAGAUGGCAGGUUAUGGAUAAUCGUCAAACCUCAUUAUCAGUCAUAUGAUAAAUUUGAUCCACUCAAAUCCAAUUGUGAUCCUCAUGGAAACUCUUUUCUAUCAAUCACACUACUGUGGUCACAGACUCUUGAACUUAGUCUUUCAAAUUUCAUAGGACAACUCUCUAUUAAGGUCAAUAGAUCCCAUCUUGAUGCACACUCUACUCCUAUAAUGAAUCAACUGUUACAAUAUCCACUACAAGGGCUCAUUGAGAUCAUAUUUAUAUGUCAGUCAAACUCCAGUACCCUCAGUAUGAGUAGUCACAUCAUCGUAGAUCAAAUGAUCAUUCACACAACUACAGCAUCGAGACAAUCACUGACAAUCGAGUAG